CUGAUGUCGGAGUCUCGGGUGUUCCUUCUGGUCUCGCUCCCGACUUGAGGAGGCAGAUUUCAACAUGGAGCAGCAGGACUGGAAAGAUGGCUCCUAUCUAUUCCAAAUAACUCCAAUAUCGCCUCAAGUGAAGAGGAAAGCCUCAUAUUUCAAGGCCACUGACUGGAACCCAUUCACAUGCCACAGGGAGACGGAUGCCGUUGUUUUUUUUACGGCAAAGGAAACAGUGAUGUAUUGGAGUCUCAUCACCCCGUCUCUCCAUCAUCACAAGCCAGUCUGGCUUGUGUAGCACGAUUAAAAUGUUAUGUCUCCCAGUGAGCUAGUAAAUAUCAACACUUUCUCUC
RNAcentral lists this long non-coding RNA (344 nucleotides) under Homo sapiens (human). RNAcentral describes it as "HSALNT0355727". The record is from RNAcentral. Lineage: Eukaryota; Metazoa; Chordata; Mammalia; Primates; Hominidae.